AGAGUUUGAUCAUGGCUCAGGAUGAACGCUGGCGGCGUGCCUAACACAUGCAAGUCGAGCGGAAAUACCAAAUGUACUCGUACAGGCGGUAUUUUAGCGGCGGACGGGUGAGUAACACGUGAGCAACCUGCCUUUUGCUGGGGAAUAACAUUGGGAAACCAGUGCUAAUACCGCAUGACGUCAUAGGGGGACAUCCCCUGGUGACCAAAGGAGAAAUCCGGCAGAAGAUGGGCUCGCGUCCGAUUAGUUAGUUGGCGGGGUAACGGCCCACCAAGACCGCGAUCGGUAGCCGAACUGAGAGGUUGAUCGGCCACAUUGGGACUGAGACACGGCCCAGACUCCUACGGGAGGCAGCAGUGGGGAAUAUUGGGCAAUGGGGGAAACCCUGACCCAGCAACGCCGCGUGAAGGACGAAGGCCUUCGGGUUGUAAACUUCUUUGAUCAGGGACGAAAACAAUGACGGUACCUGAAGAACAAGCCACGGCUAACUACGUGCCAGCAGCCGCGGUAAUACGUAGGUGGCGAGCGUUAUCCGGAUUUACUGGGUGUAAAGGGCGUGUAGGCGGGUUUGCAGGUCGGGUGUGAAAGAUUCGGGCUUAACCCGGAGAGGUCAUCCGAAGCUGCAGAUCUUGAGUGCUGGAGAGGAUAGUGGAAUUCCUGGUGUAGCGGUAAAAUGCGUAGAGAUCAGGAGGAACACCAGUGGCGAAGGCGGCUAUCUGGACAGUAACUGACGCUGAGGCGCGAAAGCGUGGGGAGCAAACAGGAUUAGAUACCCUGAUAGUCCACGCCGUAAACGAUGAAUACUAGUGUAGGGGGUAUCGACCCCCCCUGUGCCGCAGUUAACACAAUAAGUAUUCCACCUGGGGAGUACGGCCGCAGGUUGAAACUCAAAGGAAUUGACGG
RNAcentral lists this ribosomal RNA (903 nucleotides) under uncultured bacterium. RNAcentral's name for it is "bacterial SSU rRNA". It matches the Rfam family "Bacterial small subunit ribosomal RNA", at positions 8 to 916 of the family's 1533-position model. The record is from RNAcentral.